GUGUUUCCGCGGCAAAACCUGGCGCAUGCGUAUACGCUAUUCAGCUCUGUCGCUCCCAUCACGAGUCAGCCAUCUUCGUUGUAAGCAUGGUCUUGAGCAAUUUUUUUCAGGUAGUCGUAUCACGAGUUAGUUCUUCUUACACAAGUCAACACACCCAGACCCGGCUUGUGUCGUAAGUGCAGCUUGUGCAAGGAGAAUGCCACUACAGUAUAGCUUAUUUUCACUUAAUGGCACUUUCAGGUGGCUUCAGAAACUUUCAAACUCUUUUAGACACUCAGUGGUGCAACCUGCACCAAUAGAUCUAACCGAUAGUUGUUGGCUUCCGAGCGUACAAUGACUCCUUUCAGUGUGGUACAACCCGUACCGAAGAUUCAAGCAGUUAAAUGUUGUCUUUUAAGAGAGCGCACCGUUGAGAAUUCACAGAGGCAUUAUUUCAAAACGAGAAAAUUGCUCAAGUCAUUUUCAUGCUGAAAAUCUCAUGGGGAUGCUGGAGGUCGCACAGUAGAGAGAAUCCUGGCCUGACCCACCACUGUGGCCAGCUGGGUUUAAUUCCAAGAGCUGGCAUCACAUGCAGGUUCAUUUUGUUGGUGGUUCUCCUUCUUGGUUCAGUGGUUUUUCUCCAGAUCCUCCAGUUUUCUUCCCUCCACAAAAACCAACAUUACAAAGUUCCAAUUCGACUAGGAAACAUUGAACAAGAAGAGCCACCUUGUGGAUUAAAAUUCCAUUAUAAUAAUUUUCAGUUUUGUUAUUUAAUUCCCACUACACACUACAAGCAUUACAAUCAAUUCAAAACCAAAACUACUUCUUAAUGGGACUUGCUCAGAAUUUUCCCUUAAAUGUUUGUCACAGGCUUGUGACAAGAUGAAAAGCUUCUCAUUCAAUUUCUUUACCCACCUUAAAACUUACCAUCUUUCUUAUUCUAUGUACAAAACUAUAACUUAUGAAUCAGUCUUUGAAAAUUACUACAUAAAUAUUAAACUAUUAUGAUUAAUUUCUGAUUUGCUCUUUCAGGAAUGAGCCCCAGCAUGGCUUUUCAAGAGUCGAAGUAGACAGUAUAUGAAUGCAAAGAUGAAACAAGUAUAAAUGAAAAAAUGGUUAGGAAGAUAGGAUUACAAAGAACAGCCAAGGAAUAUGUCUUGGAAAAACGGUCAGAGCCACUGGGUCCCCAAAAGUCUUGACACAACUCUAGAAAGCGUGGGAACAAUGAAACUCUCUCUGGUCAGAUUUGGCCGAAAACGAAAUCAUGAAGAAGAAAAGGAAGAGCCCAAUAUUCAGUUCCAAGAUUACACUUAUAAUACAUACAGGGUAAGUGUAACACAAUAUUAGCGACCUUAACUCUUUUCACCCCUAACAUCAAUAUGCAUAUUCUCCAUACUGUUCUCUCUAAGUUUCGAAAGGUGCUGACAAGGAGAAUUUGUCUUCCAAGCAGAGUUUAUUUAUAG
Molecule: long non-coding RNA, 1442 nt
Organism: Stylophora pistillata
Lineage: Eukaryota; Metazoa; Cnidaria; Anthozoa; Scleractinia; Pocilloporidae
Source: RefSeq, a predicted model, not a curated record